CACACAUUUCAGUAGCAUAUGAAGCGGUUUGGAAGCAUUGUGCAAGAGUUAAGUCCCUCACCCCAAAUGCAGUGACGCAGAGAGCUACAAGAUGAGGUGCAUCUUCAUCUUCCCCUUCUGGCACAACCUAAAGCCAAACUGGCAGAGAAGAAAACCACCAAAAAGUACAGCCAGCAUGUGGGUAGGGUUGGAUUCGCAGCCUCUGGCCUGUGACUUUGCGUGACUACUUUGCGCGACUACUUUGUGUGACUCCUCAAAGCACAGGCAGUUGAGAGUCUGAUGACACUCAAGGCCACGCGCUGUGAUGUCCAAAAUUAACUCAGCUGCUAACUGUGCUACUGCCUCCGCGGUUUGAUUGCACCCUGCCUUCCUUGAGAACGCCCCCAAGGGAUAAAGAGGAUGUUGCUCAUAUGUGCAUUUCUGAGUUUUUUUUUUUUUCUUAGUGGACAGAAAUUUUCCAUUGUGUGGGGAUUUUUUGGUCUCAUCUGAAAUCUGGUUUCCACGUAGCCUGGCGCUAUUAGUCCAGUCAUUUUACCUGACCUCUUUCUUUACUUUGGGCACAAGACAAGGCCGAGCUCAUUCUUUCGUGACAGCCACUCUGCCACCUAAGCAGAACUAACCGUCAAAAGAGCAGGCGAAUUGUAAUUCUUAAAAAAUCCAUAAGCCAGCAGUUCCUUUUAACCACAGUGACUUUCCCGGCUGGCUCGUUGUGCUGAGGCAGCGGCGCGGCUGCACAGCAGAGCGAGGCUUGGCCCCGCCUCCCUUGGCAGGAGGGCGCUGUGGCGCGUGCAAGCUCUGCUGUCCUGCCCUUCCUGUGGGACCCAGUAUGGCGUUCUAGUGAUUGUUAGCAUGCGGACUGAAUAAACGCUCGGCUUCACUGAUGUUCCCAGCCUUACAUUUGCUAAACUGUGUCAACCAGAUGGCAGCAAGGACAUCUGUGGCAGUACAGAAAUCAAGAGAUGAGAAAAGGAAAUAAAGGACUGCACUUAUAUAUGAUGUCUGAAAUAGUCAAACUCAUAGAAGCAGAGACAGAACGGCAGCUCCGGAGCUGAAUCAAAAUGCACGCAGCACAUGGAGACCCAGGAUGGCCCCAGCCAGCCCUGGCGAGUGGCAGACCAGUUCCCUCAGUGUCGUUGUCCUGUCUCCUCGGUUGUGGUGUCUUGAGAAGAAUCGUGGAGAGAACUGAUUUCAUGAACCAACGUGCCACUACCCAUAGAUGUGGAAGAGGUGUUGGAGCCCCAUCCAGAGGAGCUUUGUGAGAGCCGCCAGCACCCGACUGGGGAGGCCAGGAAGCCACGGCCGGCACUCAGAGCGAGGGAGCUCAGGCCCAGCUCAGCAAGGAGGCUCGACUAGAAGCCAGGCCCUUACCCAGGCCACUCCGUGGGACCCUCUGGAAGUGUUUCUCAUAACAAGAAGAGGCUCGCUGUGGAAGAAAUUGAGAGGCUCCCUGUACUAUUCCCAGUCAACCUGAGCCUCUUGUUUCCUGAGAAGACAAACACGACAUCCACCAUUAUCGCUGCUGGGCCAGAAGAAGGGAUUAAUGAACUCCAGUCCUCACAGAAGCCCCACGGAAAGAGGCCGUCACCCCCACUCUACCCUGGGGAACAGGGGUCACAAAACUGCUAAGGAGCCAGUCAGAGCUGGUAACGGGAUGGAGAGCCCAGGACUCAAACCAGUCACAGGUCCUGUGCUGUUCCUCGGUCAUCUUCCUGAUAGAAAAGAGGAAAGUGCCUCCGAAGGGAGCCCCACCGUGCAGAGUAUGAGGGAGUGGGAUAAGGAUUAAAAGAAGACAGCACCAUAGAGCAAGAUGAGAGAGGUUUCCAAAGGCUGCGUCUAGGACGAGCCAGGGGACCUUGAUAGCUGAGACGUUAACUCUGCAGAGAGAGGGAGAGAAGAUGAACCAGAGGACGCCUAGAACCGGUGAGCACCACGCAGGGUCCUUCAGAGACGGCGGAGUCCCGUGCUGAGAGCUCCCUCCAAGGCUGGGAUAGCUUGGGCACUUCUCUUUGCUCACGGAGAAAUCCCAAAGGCAUUUGGUUUUCUUUGAGGCCUCUACUCCCCAUUUCUUGGUGGCCAUUAUUAGUUCAAUCAAAAGGUGGCAGCCUUCGGGGCGAAUGAGCCCCCUCUUCUGAGCCAGGGAGCCCGCUUCGAAGGUGUAGCAGGCUCCGGUUUCAAGUCCCUGAUCAGGGCCAGCUGUAGCCGACCCACCCCGUCGACUCGUUGGGGACCUAGACCUGCUACUUCCUUCUCCCUGACCUGGGGGUGAAUGAGGAGGAUGAAUGGCAAACAGACACAGAGUCAGUUUAAUUUUCAGGCAGCCAGAGGAGGCCCUAGUGUCUGACUCAUCUUGCCUCUAUUUACCCGAAUGGGUGCAAGCAAUCAGAGAAACACAGGAUCCACCUGCUUUCCGGGAUUCAUUACUACAAACUCUGGUAAACAACUUAACCUCCGGCGUCCUAACUUUUCCCUGG
This is a long non-coding RNA of Heterocephalus glaber (naked mole-rat), 2471 nucleotides long. The record is from Ensembl. NCBI's taxonomy places the organism in Eukaryota, Metazoa, Chordata, Mammalia, Rodentia, Bathyergidae.